RNAcentral lists this long non-coding RNA (462 nucleotides) under Chloebia gouldiae (Gouldian finch). RNAcentral describes it as "Erythrura gouldiae (Gouldian finch) lncRNA (ENSEGOG00005003428.1)". The record is from RNAcentral. Lineage: Eukaryota; Metazoa; Chordata; Aves; Passeriformes; Passeridae.
UAGUCCUUUUCCUUUUGAAUAAAAAUUAAACCUCUCCCAAAUGUGGGUUUGGUCAGGAGCAAGGAAGUACCGUAUUUUAGCUGAGAAACUUAUGCCCUAACUGCUCACAGCCUCCAGAGAUUUUAUGGGACUGUUCUAAAAGAAAUUGUAUUCUCUUCUUUGAACGACUUUGGGAUUACACGUUGUCGACGUUCUAACUGAGGACAGAAGGAACCAAAUCUGUAUAGAGAGAAGACACUGCAGGCCAGCCUGAGGCCCUCACAUCACCUCUGUCCCACCUGCAGGACUGACCCAAGCAGCAGAUGGAAGGGAGUGACUCACCACCUCACAGCCAAAUCAUUCAAUCAGAGCAUUUAGAGGCAGAGGCGUGGUAAGGAUACUUGGGUUAAAUCCCGACAUUAAAACAAUGAGCCUGAGGGGUCUUUAUUGUCCGUGACAGUGGAGACAAUAAUAUUUUUGUUA